AUACGGAGGAUCCGAGCGUUAUCCGGCUUUAUUGGGUUUAAAGGGAGCGUAGGUGGAUUGUUAAGUCAGUUGUGAAAGUUUGCGGCUCAACCGUAAAAUUGCAGUUGAAACUGGCAGUCUUGAGUACAGUAGAGGUGGGCGGAAUUCGUGGUGUAGCGGUGAAAUGCUUAGAUAUCACGAAGAACUCCGAUUGCGAAGGCAGCUCACUAGACUGUUACUGACACUGAUGCUCGAAAGUGUGGGUAUCAAGCAGGAUUAGAUACCCUGGUAGUCCACACAGUAAACGAUGAAUACUCGCUGUUUGCGAUAUACAGUAAGCGGCCAAGCGAAAGCAUUAAGUAUUCCACCUGGGGAGUACGCCGGCAACGGUGAAACUCAAAGGAAUUGGCGGGG
This 393-nucleotide ribosomal RNA is filed under the name uncultured bacterium. RNAcentral describes it as "partial 16S ribosomal RNA". It matches the Rfam family "Bacterial small subunit ribosomal RNA", at positions 523 to 918 of the family's 1533-position model. The record is from RNAcentral.